GAGCAACUGUAAGCGCACCUUCUACUACAACCCGCGGCGGCUGGACGACCACCAGACGGUGCGCGACGUGCGCCUGCAGGACGGCUCGGUGCUGCUGCUCGUCAGCGACCCCAGGUAGUCUGGGUUGGAGGAGGUGGAGCCAUGACCGAGGGGACCGAAGAUGCCGGCUGAAGGAGCAGGCUGGGUGGGGGACACCUUCGGGAGGUUCUGGGCUCCUAGGGUGGACAGUGAAACACUGGCCUGACCAGCUGAUGCCCACUGCCAUGGACAGUCCUGAGGGAGCCCCACUCCCUGACACUGAGCGAGGACAUUGUCGCCCCAACCCAGCCAAUCAGGUUGUACUGUGUGACCCUGAGGCCAUGCCACAGGAACCACUGUGCCAGCUUGGGCAGCGUGUGAAGAGAAGCACAAAGGAGAGAGGAGAGGAAAUCAGGCAGCACCUCUCCUACCUUGUACAUUCUCUUGGCCCAAGCUGUGCCCCUGCCAAAGGCACCUUCCACACCCCUCUCUGCGGCUCCAGCCCACCUGGAAUUCCAGCCUCCUCCAGGAAGUCUUCUCGGAUGCCCUCCUGCCCAGCCAGUGAGCACCGCAUCCUCUUGUGGGUCCCCACAAGCCCCUCUACUGUGAACAGCCUUGGCUGUGGGGUAUAGCCAGUCGCUCAGGAAAUCUCAAAUGACUGAAGGUGGAGACUGGGGGACGCAGCCCUCUCCCGGUUCUCCAGCGGCGUUCUGUGUUCUACCCUUUUCCCCAAUACCUCCUCUCAUUGCAUCUGUGCCCGCCCCCUUCGAGUGCCCUCCCUUAAUGCCUUGCCCCCUGCCUGCUGCAUGGGGUUUCCUGGUUGCGUCGGAAGGACUCUGGUCGAGUAGGCAGAGAUCUGGGGGUCCCUGUGCCUGGUAGAGCACUGAGGCUUGGGUGGUAAUCUUUUCUUUUUCUUUUUCCCCACCA
Long non-coding RNA from Myotis lucifugus (little brown bat), 945 nucleotides. RefSeq lists it as uncharacterized. The record is from RefSeq and is a predicted model, not a curated record. The transcript has 3 exons. Lineage: Eukaryota; Metazoa; Chordata; Mammalia; Chiroptera; Vespertilionidae.